AUGAACGCUGACAGAAUGCUUAACACAUGCAAGUCAACUUGAACUUCGGUUUGGGUGGCGGACGGGUGAGUAACGCGUAAAGAACUUGCCUCACAGCUAGGGACAACAUUUGGAAACGAAUGCUAAUACCUGAUAUUAUGAUUUUAGGGCAUCCUAGAAUUAUGAAAGCUAUAUGCGCUGUGAGAGAGCUUUGCGUCCCAUUAGCUAGUUGGAGAGGUAACGGCUCACCAAGGCGAUGAUGGGUAGCCGGCCUGAGAGGGUGAACGGCCACAAGGGGACUGAGACACGGCCCUUACUCCUACGGGAGGCAGCAGUGGGGAAUAUUGGACAAUGGACCAAGAGUCUGAUCCAGCAAUUCUGUGUGCACGAUGAAGUUUUUCGGAAUGUAAAGUGCUUUCAGUUGGGAAGAAAAAAAUGACGGUACCAACAGAAGAAGUGACGGCUAAAUACGU
Molecule: ribosomal RNA, 452 nt
Filed under: uncultured bacterium
Lineage: Bacteria
Description: partial 16S ribosomal RNA
Rfam family: Bacterial small subunit ribosomal RNA
Source: RNAcentral